This 767-nucleotide ribosomal RNA is filed under the name Aspergillus fumigatus. Its description in RNAcentral is "partial 18S ribosomal RNA". It matches the Rfam family "Eukaryotic small subunit ribosomal RNA", at positions 637 to 1385 of the family's 1831-position model. The record is from RNAcentral. Lineage: Eukaryota; Fungi; Ascomycota; Eurotiomycetes; Eurotiales; Aspergillaceae.
AACCUUGGGUCUGGCUGGCCGGUCCGCCUCACCGCGAGUACUGGUCCGGCUGGACCUUUCCUUCUGGGGAACCUCAUGGCCUUCACUGGCUGUGGGGGGAACCAGGACUUUUACUGUGAAAAAAUUAGAGUGUUCAAAGCAGGCCUUUGCUCGAAUACAUUAGCAUGGAAUAAUAGAAUAGGACGUGCGGUUCUAUUUUGUUGGUUUCUAGGACCGCCGUAAUGAUUAAUAGGGAUAGUCGGGGGCGUCAGUAUUCAGCUGUCAGAGGUGAAAUUCUUGGAUUUGCUGAAGACUAACUACUGCGAAAGCAUUCGCCAAGGAUGUUUUCAUUAAUCAGGGAACGAAAGUUAGGGGAUCGAAGACGAUCAGAUACCCGUCGUACUCUUAACCAUAAACUAUGCCGACUAAGGGAUCGGGCGGUUGUUUCUUUUGAUGGACCCCGCUUCGGCCCCCUUACCAAAAAAUCAAAAUUUUUUUGGUUUCUGGGGGAGAAGUAUGGGUCCCCACGGCUGAAACUUUAAAAAAAAUUGACGGGAGGGGGCACCAACACGGCGUGGAAGCCAGCGGGCUUUCUUUUUACUCAACACCCGGGAAACUCACCAUGUCCCAAAAAGAAUGGGGAUUGACACAUUGAGAGCUCUUUCUUGAUCUUUUGGAUGGUGGUGCAUGGCCGUUCUUAGUUGGUGGAGUGAUUUGUCUGCUUAAUUGCGAUAACGAACGAGACCUCGGCCCUUAAAUAGCCCGGUCCGCAUUUGCGGGCCGCUGGC